RNAcentral lists this ribosomal RNA (492 nucleotides) under uncultured bacterium. RNAcentral describes it as "partial 16S ribosomal RNA". It matches the Rfam family "Bacterial small subunit ribosomal RNA", at positions 29 to 507 of the family's 1533-position model. The record is from RNAcentral.
AGUGAACGCUGGCGGUAGGCCUAACACAUGCAAGUCGAACGGCAGCACAGUAAGAGCUUGCUCUUACGGGUGGCGAGUGGCGGACGGGUGAGGAAUACAUCGGAAUCUACUUUUUCGUGGGGAAUAACGUAGGGAAACUUACGCUAAUACCGCAUACGACCUACGGGUGAAAGCAGGGGAUCUUCGGACCUUGCGCGAUUGAAUGAGCCGAUGUCGGAUUAGCUAGUUGGCGGGGUAAAGGCCCACCAAGGCGACGAUCCGUAGCUGGUCUGAGAGGAUGAUCAGCGACACUGGAACUGAGACACGGUCCAGGCUCCUACGGGAGGCAGCAGUGGGGAAUAUUGGACAAAGGGCGCAAGCCUGAUCCAGCCAUACCGCGUGGGUGAAGAAGGCCUUCGGGUUGUAAAGCCCUUUUGUUGGGAAAGAAAAGCAGCAGGUUAAUACCCCGCUGUUCUGACGGUACCCAAAGAAUAAGCACCGGCUAACUUCGUG